Molecule: ribosomal RNA, 442 nt
Filed under: uncultured bacterium
Lineage: Bacteria
Description: partial 16S ribosomal RNA
Rfam family: Bacterial small subunit ribosomal RNA
Source: RNAcentral
CCUACGGGUGGCAGCAGUGAGGGAUAUUGCUCAAUGGGGGAAACCCUGAUGCAGCGACGCCGCGUGGGCGAAGAAGUAUUUAGGUAUUUAAAGCUCUAUCAGUCGGGAAGAAGAAAUGACGGUACCUGAGUAAGAAGCACCGGCUAAUGACGUGCCAGCAGCCGCGGUAAUACGUAGGGUGCAAGUGUUAUCCGGAUUUACUGGGUGUACAGGGAGCGUAGGCGGCACGGGAAGCCUGAAGUGAAAGCCUGCGGCCCAACAGCGGGACUGCAUUGGGAACUAGCGGGCUAGAGUGCCGGAGAGGUAGGCGGAAUUCGUAGUGUAGCGGUGAAAUGCGUAGAUAUUAGGAAGAACUCCAGUUGCGAAGGCAGCCUACUGGACGGUGACUGACGCUGAGGCUCGAAAGCGUGGGGAGCAAACAGGAUUAGAUACCCCUGUAGUC